GGCCGGUAGGCGGCCGGGCCGCCGUUGCGCGUCACCUCGCGCGUGACGGUGGAGGUGGGGCGUUCGAGGCGCCGGGCGAUCUCC
RNAcentral lists this transfer RNA (84 nucleotides) under Streptomyces termitum. Its description in RNAcentral is "tRNA-Ala". Lineage: Bacteria; Bacillati; Actinomycetota; Actinomycetes; Kitasatosporales; Streptomycetaceae. The record is from RNAcentral.